Molecule: ribosomal RNA, 1054 nt
Filed under: Escherichia coli
Lineage: Bacteria; Pseudomonadati; Pseudomonadota; Gammaproteobacteria; Enterobacterales; Enterobacteriaceae
Description: partial 23S ribosomal RNA
Rfam family: Bacterial large subunit ribosomal RNA
Source: RNAcentral
UCAUCUUCGGGGGUAGAGCACUGUUUCGACUAGGGGGUCAUCCCGACUUACCAACUCGAUGCAAACUACGAAUACCGAAGAAUGUUAUCACGGGAGACACACGGCGGGUGCUAACGUCCGUCGUGAAGAGGGAAACAACCCAGACCGCCAGCUAAGGUCCCAAAGUCAUAGUUAAGUGGGAAACGAUGUGGGAAGGCAUAGACAGCCAGGAUGUUGGCUUAGAAGCAGCCAUCAUUUAAAGAAAGCGUAAUAGCUCACUGGUCGAGUCGGCCUGCGCGGAAGAUGUAACGGGGCUAAACUAUGCACCGAAGCUGCGGCAGCGACACUUAGGUGUUGUUGGGUAGGGGAGCGUUCUGUAAGCCUGUGAAGGUGACCUGUGAGGGUUGCUGGAGGUAUCAGAAGUGCGAAUGCUGACAUAAGUAACGAUAAAGCGGGUGAAAAACCCGCUCGCCGGAAGACCAAGGGUUCCUGUCCAACGUUAAUCGGGGCAGGGUGAGUCGACCCCUAAGGCGAGGCCGAAAGGCGUAGUCGAUGGGAAACAGGUUAAUAUUCCUGUACUCGGUGUUACUGCGAAGGGGGGACGGAGAAGGCUAGGCUAUCCGGGCGACGGUUGUCCCGGUUUAAGCGUGUAGGGGGUGUGACUUGGUAAAUCCGGUCGCAUAUUAACCCUGAGGCGUGAUGACGAGUCACUACGGUGAUGAAGUAGUUGAUGCCAAGCUUCCAGGAAAAGCCUCUAAGCUCUAGGUAACAUUGAAUCGUACCCCAAACCGACACAGGUGGUCAGGUAGAGAAUACCAAGGCGCUUGAGAGAACUCGGGUGAAGGAACUAGGCAAAAUGGUGCCGUAACUUCGGGAGAAGGCACGCUGGCGCGUAGGUGAAGUCCCUUGCGGAUGGAGCUGAAGCCAGUCGAAGAUACCAGCUGGCUGCAACUGUUUAAUAAAAACACAGCACUGUGCAAACACGAAAGUGGACGUAUACGGUGUGACGCCUGCCCGGUGCUGGAAGGUUAAUUGAUGGGGUCAGCCGCAAGGCGAAGCUCUUGAUCGAAGCCCC